Molecule: long non-coding RNA, 128 nt
Organism: Bufo bufo (common toad)
Lineage: Eukaryota; Metazoa; Chordata; Amphibia; Anura; Bufonidae
Exons: 4
Source: RefSeq, a predicted model, not a curated record
CCAGGCAUAGUUCACCAUCUUUCGGGUCCUAUCGCGCGCGCUCAUGCUCCACCUCCCCGGCGGUGCGAGCGAGACGGGCCGGUGGUGCGCCCGCCCCGGACUGGAGAGGCCUCCAGAUCCCUCCUCCC